RNAcentral lists this ribosomal RNA (253 nucleotides) under uncultured bacterium. RNAcentral's name for it is "partial 16S ribosomal RNA". It matches the Rfam family "Bacterial small subunit ribosomal RNA", at positions 524 to 776 of the family's 1533-position model. The record is from RNAcentral.
GACGAACCGUGCGAACGUUGUUCGGAAUCACUGGGCUUAAAGGGCGCGUAGGCGGGCAGCCAGGUCAGAGGUGAAAUCCCACAGCUCAACUGUGGAACUGCCUUUGAAACCGGUUGCCUCGAGUGAGGUAGGGGCAUGUGGAACUUCCGGUGGAGCGGUGAAAUGCGUAGAGAUCGGAAGGAACGCCGGUGGCGAAAGCGACGUGCUGGACCUCUUCUGACGCUGAGGCGCGAAAGCCAGGGUAGCGAACGGG